UUCUCCUGGCUCAAAGAUUCACUAGAGAAAGCUAGUCCCUUGCUUUCCUAGAUCUGAGACGCUUGGCUCGGUUCCAGAGAGAUUAAAGACUUCUUGCACCGUGAAACAGAAGGGUUACCUGUGCACAACCCUCACUGACUGCCAAAUGUUGGGAAAGCUGUGACUUCAGAAACGGUAUGAAAAGGCCACUGAACUGCUAAAAUCCCACAGUAUCCAAGCCACUGCAGCCAGCGUGCUCCCUGCACCUCCUUCCACUGCCACAACAAGAAGUGAGCAGCCCAGAAGUCGAUGCCUGCAACUCAGAGCAAUUGAAAUUGCACAGGGUCUACUUCCAAGCCUGCCAUUGUGCAAGUCUGGGAAAGGCACCAAUUCUCCCCGUGUCCCUGACCCGCCCCCCAAGUGAAACAAAACACCCAUCAAGCAGCAGGCUGGCUUGUCUGAAUGAAUUAAUAGCUAUCAAACGAUUUCAGUUCCACACAGGUCUGUCAAAGCCAUUAUCAGGAGUUUGACACUGGCUAUCACCCACUCCUUCAGAAAGAAAGGAGAAAAAGAGGCAACAUCAGGCAACUGCAGAACGACCUAGCCUCAGAGAACGACUUGACAUCGUGCAGAUAUUUAACAGUAACAUUUAUCCAGCAGGACUGACAUUCACUAGACUGGAACCAGGCAAUCUGGUGUUUCGUAGUCUCCCUCUUAGCUCCUAAGGCUUAGAGCCUUGAAAGUUUUAAGCAUCUAAAAAAUGUCAGCUGCCUGAAACCUACCUACCUUUGAAGAGCAGGGCCUCAGGAUAAGCCUGCUAACCAGCAGAGCCUAACUUUAUGCCACGGGGAAUGCCAGCCCU
This is a long non-coding RNA of Oxyura jamaicensis (ruddy duck), 841 nucleotides long. RefSeq lists it as uncharacterized. NCBI's taxonomy places the organism in Eukaryota, Metazoa, Chordata, Aves, Anseriformes, Anatidae. The transcript is spliced from 2 exons. The record is from RefSeq and is a predicted model, not a curated record.